AGAGCCUGAAAGAGAAGGGGAGCGUCCAGCCGCCAUCUUGGGCUCUGUCUUGUCAUCCCUUGAACAAGUCUGUCUUCUCUCUUUUUUUUUUUUUUGAGACAGAGUCUCGCUCUUUCGCCCAGGCCGGACUGCAGUGGCACUAUCUCGGCUCACUGCAAGCUCCGCCUCCCGGGUUCACGCCACUCUCUUGCCUCAGCCUCCCUAGUAGCUGGGACUACAGGCGCCCGCUACCGCGUCUGGCUAAUUUUUUGUAUUUUUGGUAGAGACGGGGUUUCACCGCGUUAACCAGAGAGAAUGGGCAAGGGGUCAUCGAUGGACCGGAGAUGGGAUGGUAGGGACGGAAACUGCAGGGUCCGCAGAAGGAACUGCUCACCGAAAGCCAACAAGCUUGCCCUGUGGAAUCCCAGAAAGGCCCAGGAACUUCGGGACAUCACUGAAGGCAGAGUGAAGAGAGGAAGAGAAGACAGAGAAAUGGAGGGGAGAAAACUAUUAAAAUAAGUAAUAAGAAAACUUUCCCCAGAAGUGCGGAAUCUGAAUUUCCAGUAUAAAAGGGUCCAUUGAGCGCCAAGAACAAUGAAGGAAAAAAGGUCCCACUCAGGCCUACGUAUCAUUGUGAAAUUUCAGAACUAGAGGGAUAAAGAAAAGAUCCUAAAAGCUUCCCGAGAGAUAAAAAAGAAGAUUUUUACAAAGGAUCAGCAAUCAGAAUUGCCUCAGACUGCUCAAUAAAAACAUCAGAAGCUAGAAGAAAAUAGAGCGAGGCAUCAAAAUCCUGAGGGAAAUGAUUCCCACCUAUAAUUUCAUAUUCUGCUCAAUUAUCAAUUGAGUAUUGAAGGGAAAUAAAGACAUUUUUAGACA
Molecule: long non-coding RNA, 855 nt
Filed under: Pan troglodytes (chimpanzee)
Lineage: Eukaryota; Metazoa; Chordata; Mammalia; Primates; Hominidae
Description: lincRNA
Source: RNAcentral